This 406-nucleotide ribosomal RNA is filed under the name uncultured bacterium. RNAcentral's name for it is "partial 16S ribosomal RNA". It matches the Rfam family "Bacterial small subunit ribosomal RNA", at positions 30 to 526 of the family's 1533-position model. The record is from RNAcentral.
AUUGAACGCUGGCGGCAGGCCUAACACAUGCAAGUCGAACGAGUGGCGGACGGGUGAGUAAUGUCUGGGAAAAUGCCUGAUGGAGGGGGGUAACUAAUGGAAACGGUAGCUAAUACCGCAUACCAUCAGAGGUGCCCAGAUGGGAUUAGAAAGGUGGUGGGGUAACGGCUCACCAAGGCGCCGAUCCCUAGCUGGUCGGAGAGGAUGACCAGCCACACUGGACCUGUGACACGGUCCAGACUCCUACGCGAGGCAGCAGUGGGGAAUUUUGCACAAUGGGCGCAAGCCUGAUGCAGCCAUGCCGCGUGUAUUAAGAAGGCCUUCGGGUUUUAAAGUACUUUCAGCGGGGAGGCGUUACCCGCAGAAGAAGCACCGGCUAACUCCGUGCCAGCAGCCGCGGUAAUUC